Long non-coding RNA from Photinus pyralis (common eastern firefly), 655 nucleotides. RefSeq lists it as uncharacterized. The transcript has 2 exons. Lineage: Eukaryota; Metazoa; Arthropoda; Insecta; Coleoptera; Lampyridae. The record is from RefSeq and is a predicted model, not a curated record.
AAUUUAGAACUAUUGAAUUGUUCUGUACUUGUGAAAUAUGUGUAUUGCGAUUAACUGUUUGACUAUAUAUACAUCAACCUACCUGGUUCAUCAGGAUCAAAUAGUGGAUUCGAUUCGUAGAACAACAUUUACAUUAUUUUAUUGCAUCGAAGUUAUUAGCUAUACCAGGGUUGCCAGAUGUCAGGCAUUCAGCCGGAGUCUCAGGUUUUACAUCGUGCUCUCCGGCCACCGGCAGGCGCGACUAUAACUCCGGCAGAACAAUAAAUUUCAAUUUAAUACUUUUCAAAUAGGUCAAACGCUUCCUUUUUAAGCACCUAAUAACACCUUAAUUUUUAAAUAUGACAAAAUCACAAAUAAAAACUUUCGUAGAGAUCUUGCUUUCAAAAGGAAAUGUUACCACGUAAUGAGCGCUGAAAUUCUACUCGUCUGCCGCCUGUCGGUCUGCGAGUGUGUGAUUCCUGUCGAAUCAACACCAUUGCGUUGCGAUUUUGGAGUUAGUAGUCCGGUUUGACUAUUUCUUUGCGAUGUUGAUGUUUAUGUUUCAUUUAUUAAAUUAAGUGCACUGUAUUUACCCUUCUAUUACUUAUAUUGCAAGAAUGAAGAAAGUAUAGUUUGUUUUAUUUGUCUACUUAGACUUAUACCAAUAAAAAAAUUC